GCAUCUACCGAUUGAAUGGAGAGGUAAAAUCUCCGGACUAUGACGCGUUGGGGUCAAACCUAAUGCAGUCGUGGGAAGUGGAUUAAACCUUUCCAUUUAGAGGAAGAUGAAGUCGUAACAAGGUUUCUGUAGGUGAACCUGCAGAAGGAUCAUCCGUUUAACACCAUGGGAGUUGACUGCUCCAGAAGUGGCUGAGCCAACCCGCAAGGGAGGCAGGUCCCCAAGGAGUGGUCGGUAACUGGGGUGAAGUCGUAACAAGGUAGCCGUAGGUGAACCUGCAGAAGGAUCA
Molecule: unclassified non-coding RNA, 289 nt
Filed under: sea anemone metagenome
Description: partial contains small subunit ribosomal RNA and internal transcribed spacer 1
Rfam family: Eukaryotic small subunit ribosomal RNA (bases 1-155)
Source: RNAcentral